This 266-nucleotide ribosomal RNA is filed under the name uncultured prokaryote. Its description in RNAcentral is "partial 16S ribosomal RNA". It matches the Rfam family "Bacterial small subunit ribosomal RNA", at positions 524 to 788 of the family's 1533-position model. The record is from RNAcentral.
UACGUAGGGGGCAAGCGUUGUCCGGAAUUAUUGGGCGUAAAGAGCGCGCAGGUGGUUGAUUAAGUCUGAUGUGAAAGCCCACGGCUUAACCGUGGAGGGUCAUUGGAAACUGGUCGACUUGAGUGCAGAAGAGGGAAGUGGAAUUCCAUGUGUAGCGGUGAAAUGCGUAGAGAUAUGGAGGAACACCAGUGGCGAAGGCGGCUUCCUGGUCUGUAACUGACACUGAGGCGCGAAAGCGUGGGGAGCAAACAGGAUUAGAUACCCCU